This is a long non-coding RNA of Lepidothrix coronata (blue-crowned manakin), 652 nucleotides long. RefSeq lists it as uncharacterized. The transcript has 3 exons. The record is from RefSeq and is a predicted model, not a curated record. NCBI's taxonomy places the organism in Eukaryota, Metazoa, Chordata, Aves, Passeriformes, Pipridae.
UUUUUCUCCCUCUUCUCCCUGAGGUUGGGGGGGGGGGACUUCUGGUGGUAAGGUUUGGAGACUUGGCAGGGAGCCAGCUUCAAACCAUAUCAAAGAGGAAGUAUGUUAAUCAUGAAAUUGGAAUUAUCGAGGUCUCUGAUGGUCCUCUCCUCAGAAUGAAUUUCAUUCAGAAAUUUGAUUUUGGUCUCGAACAGGGUUACAGAACUCACAGCUGUAUGCAGUGUGGGGAGGACAGCCAUGAGGCCCUUGGGGGCUGGGGUGUCUGCAGACUCUCGCUCCAAGAAGGGCUUUUGCAGCAGGAGGAGUGCAUGCAGCAGCCUUUACCAAGGCUGGAAUUCCUGGGUGAAUCUGUGUAUCUAUGAUCACAUUCCCGUAAAGAUAGACAAUGAGAGAAAGCAACAUCAAUGAAAAUCCAGCAGUGGGGUGAAAGGACUUAAAAGAAGCCUACAAGAAGAAUGCAGGAGUUGCAGUGCUACAGGAAUUUUCCUCAAUCAAGGUGACACAGGAAAGUACAGUGCUAUCUGAGAAGAUAUUCUGGAUGUCAUUUCCAAAAAUCUGUGGGGCAACUGAUACCGUUUCUGUACAACUGCAGUGUGGGAUUCAGAUGAUGCUGGUUCAAUGGCUGCUGAUGCCAACGAUGUACAUGAGUUUG